RNAcentral lists this ribosomal RNA (454 nucleotides) under uncultured Pseudomonas sp. RNAcentral describes it as "bacterial SSU rRNA". It matches the Rfam family "Bacterial small subunit ribosomal RNA", at positions 929 to 1382 of the family's 1533-position model. The record is from RNAcentral. Lineage: Bacteria; Pseudomonadati; Pseudomonadota; Gammaproteobacteria; Pseudomonadales; Pseudomonadaceae.
GCGGUGGAGCAUGUGGUUUAAUUCGAAGCAACGCGAAGAACCUUUACCAGGCCUUGACAUGCAGAGAACUUUCCAGAGAUGGAUUGUGCCUUCGGGAACUCUGACACAGGUGCUGCAUGGCUGUCGUCAGCUCGUGUCGUGAGAUGUUGGGUUAAGUCCCGUAACGAGCGCAACCCUUGUCCUUAGUUACCAGCACGUUAAGGUGGGCACUCUAAUGAGACUGCCGGUGACAAGCCGGAGGAAGGUGGGGAUGACGUCAAGUCCUCAUGGCCCUUAUGCCCAGGGCUACACACGUGCUACAAUGGGCGGUACAAAGGGUAGCGAUGCCGCGAGGUGAAGCCAAUCCCAAAAAGCCGUCCACAGUUCGGAUUGGAGUCUGCAACUCGACUCCAUGAAGCCGGAAUCGCUAGUAAUCGUGGAUCAGCAUGCCACGGUGAAUACGUUCCCGGGCCUU